This is a long non-coding RNA of Solanum stenotomum, 393 nucleotides long. RefSeq lists it as uncharacterized. NCBI's taxonomy places the organism in Eukaryota, Viridiplantae, Streptophyta, Magnoliopsida, Solanales, Solanaceae. The record is from RefSeq and is a predicted model, not a curated record. The transcript is spliced from 3 exons.
UUUAGGUGAUAAGUAUCACCUUUGGAAGAUAUAUUUUUCCAACCCCUAUAAUUAAUUUCGUUUUUCCUCAAGUCUAAAAACAUUAGAACCUUAGCUUAACAGAUUGUUCUUCAAAAUCACAAGAGAAAACUUGGCCCUUUUGGUUGGAAUUCAAGAACACACACUUCUUGUUGGUUGUAUAUACUCGUGAACAAGUUGAGGACCUUGAUACGUUGGUUGGACUGUUUCUUUGCUAAGGCACUGAGGGGAAUGAUCGAGUGGAUGCAUGAAGCGGGCCAUUGGAGAUGGAAUUUUUGAGAGCCUUAAGGAAGAUCACAUUUGCAUUUAGGCAUCUAUAUUUUGUAUAAACCUUGGGACUUGUACAUGAUCUUUGUGUUGUAUAAUUACAUGAAG